GAUGAACGCUGGCGGCGUGCCUAAUACAUGCAAGUCGAGCGAACAGACGAGGAGCUUGCUCCUCUGACGUUAGCGGCGGACGGGUGAGUAACACGUGGAUAACCUCCCUAUAAGACGGGGAUAACUUCGGGACACCGGAGCUAAUACCGGAUAAUAUAUUGAACCGCAUGGUUCAAUAGUGAACGACGGUUUUGCUGUCACUUAUAGAUGGAUCCGCGCCUCAUUAGCUAGUUGGUAAGGUAACGGCUUACCAAGGCAACGAUGAGUAGCCGACCUGAGAGGGUGAUCAGCCACACUGGGACUGAGACACGGUCCAGACUCCUACGGGAGGCAGCAGUAGGGAAUCUUCCGCAAAGGGCGAAAGCCUGACGGAGCAACGCCGCGUGAGUGAUGAAGGUCUUCGGAUCGUAAAGCUCUGUUAUUAGGGAAGAACAAAUGUGUAAGUAACUAUGCACGUCUUGACGGUACCUAAUCAGAAAGCCACGGCUAACUACGUG
RNAcentral lists this ribosomal RNA (497 nucleotides) under uncultured bacterium. Its description in RNAcentral is "partial 16S ribosomal RNA". It matches the Rfam family "Bacterial small subunit ribosomal RNA", at positions 28 to 507 of the family's 1533-position model. The record is from RNAcentral.